RNAcentral lists this ribosomal RNA (308 nucleotides) under uncultured bacterium. RNAcentral describes it as "bacterial SSU rRNA". It matches the Rfam family "Bacterial small subunit ribosomal RNA", at positions 28 to 334 of the family's 1533-position model. The record is from RNAcentral.
GACGAACGCUGGCGGCGUGCCUAACACAUGCAAGUCGAACGGAAGUAAGUGCUUCGGUAUUUACUUUAGUGGCGAACGGGUGAGUAACGCGUAAAGAACUUGCCCUGCAGUCUGGGACAACAUUUGGAAACGAAUGCUAAUACCGGAUAUUAUGUGAGUUUCGCAUGAAAUUCAUAUGAAAGCUAUAUGCGCUGCAGGAGAGCUUUGCGUCCUAUUAGCUAGUUGGUGAGGUAACGGCUCACCAAGGCGAUGAUAGGUAGCCGGCCUGAGAGGGUGAACGGCCACAAGGGGACUGAGACACGGCCCUU